RNAcentral lists this ribosomal RNA (791 nucleotides) under uncultured bacterium. RNAcentral describes it as "bacterial SSU rRNA". It matches the Rfam family "Bacterial small subunit ribosomal RNA", at positions 8 to 796 of the family's 1533-position model. The record is from RNAcentral.
AGAGUUUGAUCCUGGCUCAGAUUGAACGCUGGCGGCAUGCCUUACACAUGCAAGUCGAACGGUAACAGGUCUUCGGACGCUGACGAGUGGCGAACGGGUGAGUAAUACAUCGGAACGUGCCCAGUCGUGGGGGAUAACUACUCGAAAGAGUAGCUAAUACCGCAUACGAUCUGAGGAUGAAAGCGGGGGACCUUCGGGCCUCGCGCGAUUGGAGCGGCCGAUGGCAGAUUAGGUAGUUGGUGGGAUAAAAGCUUACCAAGCCGACGAUCUGUAGCUGGUCUGAGAGGACGACCAGCCACACUGGGACUGAGACACGGCCUAGACUCCUACGGGAGGCAGCAGUGGGGAAUUUUGGACAAUGGGCGAAAGCCUGAUCCAGCAAUGCCGCGUGCAGGAUGAAGGCCUUUGGGUUGUAAACUGCUUUUGUACGGAACGAAAAAGCUCCUUCUAAUACAGGGGGCCCAUGACGGUACCGUAAGAAUAAGCACCGGCUAACUACGUGCCAGCAGCCGCGGUAAUACGUAGGGUGCGAGCGUUAAUCGGAAUUACUGGGCGUAAAGCGUGCGCAGGCGGUUAUGUAAGACAGAUGUGAAAUCCCCGGGCUCAACCUGGGAACUGCAUUUGUGACUGCAUGGCUAGAGUACGGUAGAGGGGGAUGGAAUUCCGCGUGUAGCAGUGAAAUGCGUAGAUAUGCGGAGGAACACCGAUGGCGAAGGCAAUCCCCUGGACCUGUACUGACGCUCAUGCACGAAAGCGUGGGGAGCAAACAGGAUUAGAUACCCUGGUAGUCC